This 337-nucleotide ribosomal RNA is filed under the name uncultured dinoflagellate. RNAcentral describes it as "partial 18S rRNA". Lineage: Eukaryota; Dinophyceae. The record is from RNAcentral.
CCAAUUUCUUGGUAACAUAGUUUAUGGUUAAGACUAUGACGGUUUCUUAUCGUCUUCGGACCCCUAACUUUCGUUAUUGAUGAAGGAAUAUGUCCUUGGCUGAUGCAUUCGCAUUACUUUGUCUUUAACAAAUCCAAGAAUUUCACCUCUGACUGUUAAAUACAAAUGCCCCCAACCAUCCCCAUCAUUCCGUAUCCCCAUUACGAAACCAACAAGCAUAACAAUGAACUUUGUCAUUAUUCCAUGCUUUUGUAUGCAAGACAUUCAGUUGCUGGAAGCACUCUUAUUUCCUCAAAGUAAUCACCCUGGGUACCAGACCACACAACCCAGUGCAGUU